UGGGGAAUAUUGCACAAUGGGCGCAAGCCUGAUGCAGCCAUGCCGCGUGUAUGAAGAAGCCCUUCGGGUUGUAAAGUACUUUCAGCGGGGAGGAAGGGAGUAAAGUUAAUACCUUUGCUCAUUGACGUUACCCGCAGAAGAAGCACCGGCUAACUCCGUGCCAGCAGCCGCGGUAAUACGGAGGGUGCAAGCGUUAAUCGGAAUUACUGGGCGUAAAGCGCACGCAGGCGGUUUGUUAAGUCAGAUGUGAAAUCCCCGGGCUCAACCUGGGAACUGCAUCUGAUACUGGCAAGCUUGAGUCUCGUAGAGGGGGGUAGAAUUCCAGGUGUAGCGGUGAAAUGCGUAGAGAUCUGGAGGAAUACCGGUGGCGAAGGCGGCCCCCUGGACGAAGACUGACGCUCAGGUGCGAAAGCGUGGGGAGCAAACAGG
Molecule: ribosomal RNA, 429 nt
Filed under: Chloroflexota bacterium
Lineage: Bacteria; Bacillati; Chloroflexota
Description: Chloroflexi bacterium partial 16S ribosomal RNA
Rfam family: Bacterial small subunit ribosomal RNA
Source: RNAcentral